Long non-coding RNA from Brassica rapa (field mustard), 3652 nucleotides. RefSeq lists it as uncharacterized. Lineage: Eukaryota; Viridiplantae; Streptophyta; Magnoliopsida; Brassicales; Brassicaceae. The record is from RefSeq and is a predicted model, not a curated record.
ACUUAAAUAUGAUAAUUUCUAAAUUUGUAUUUUAAAGGUAUUGAAACCUUAAUAUUUUAAUUUUGUAAUUUGCAUUAAAAAAGGGCUUUUUGCAAAUAUGACUCAAAAAUUGAAGUCAAACACAAAACUAACCCAUAUUUUUUUGGAACUUUGACUUGCCUAUUUCACCCCUAAAGUUCAGAUUAUUCACAAAAAUGCCAUCACUUUUUUUUUUUUGAAAAUGCAUAUUUUACUCUAUCACCCUCAUCUUCCUCAAGUAUUCACAAUAUUGUCAUUGCCAUUAAUACACUAACCACUAUGAACAACCAAUUUGAAGCUCUUAAUGCACCUAAAAAUCGAUUUACACUUUUUCUUUCUCAAUUCUUACGAACCAAAAACAACAUCUCUUUACUUUCUCUCCAUAUUAAUCCAAAAAACCCAAGAUUUUGAUUCUAAAAAUUUUAUGGUUCAUAGAGCCAUUGAAGCUUACGACUCUUUGUUUGAGAUUAUGGGUGCUUGGAGAAGACUUUUGUGUGCUAAACAAGUUAUCUCACUGGUUGAAACUAUGAAAUUUUUUUUUUCCAGAUUUGUUCGUCCAGACGACUUAUCCGGAAGUCGUCUGGCUGUAGACGACUUACAUGGAAGUCUUAUGGCCAAUGCAGAGGUUAAUUUUGCAAUUGACUUUUGAAUGUGUUUUUCUAGACGACUUACAUGGAAGUCGUCCAUCUUUGUUUGUUAAAAACAAAAAUCGAGACGACUUCCAUGUAAGUUGUCUAAGGUAAACGGGUUAGUUUUGCAUUUGACCGGAUUGUAUAAAAAAUUUGACUUUUCCUGGACGACUUACAUGUAAGUCGUCCAGUAGAAAUAAAAAACAAUAUUUUGUUAUACCUAGACGACUUCUAUGUAAGUCGUUUCAGGUUAGUUUUGCAAUUGAAAAAUAAAACAAUAAAAAUUAUUUUUGUUUAGACGACUUACACGGAAGUCGUCCAUCAGACGACUUCCACGAAAGUCGUCCAUGAUUUUAUUCCGAGAUUCUGGUCAAACCUUGCUUAUCUUGGACGACUUCCAUGUAAGUCGUCGGACGGACGACUUUCGUAUAAGUUUUCUAGAAAUUUUUUUUUUGUUUUAUUUUUCAAUUGCAAAACUAACCUGAGACGACUUACAUGGAAGUUGUCUAGGUAUAAUAAAAUAUUGAUUUUUUUAAUUUUCUACUGGACGACUUACAUGGAAGUCGUCCAGGAAAAGUCAAAUUUCUGACAAAAUCCGGUCAAAUGCAAAACUAACACAUUUUCCCUAGACGGCUUACAUGGAAGUCGUCUCGAUUUAUUUUAACAAACAAAGAUGGACGACUUCCAUGUAAGUCGUGUAGGUUAAAAAUCAAUUGUAAAACUAACCUAAAUGGACGGCUUCCUAGAAGUCUAUCAGACGACCUCUGUGGAAGUCGUCUGCGUCAAUGUUUAAUAAAUUUUCAUUUUUCUAAAACUAUAACGACUUUUUAAUUUUUUUUUGUUAAUUCAUGUAUAUUAGUUAAUAUUGGGGCUACUGAAUGAAAUUUAUAACUUAAUUGGUGAUCUAACCUAUACUAAAAGGGUUAUAUGAGCAUCAGAGAAGCUGUCCACGUCAGCAAUUAAAUCAGCUAAUCAGAAGACUCUAAUCUGCCAUAUCACUUUCUAUUUCAGUUCAUUUAAAAACUUCACGUACAUAAUAUUUACCCCAUUAGCAAAUCGUAUUUGGCCCACUUUGUAUUAUAAACUCUCAGGCCCAUCCUUUGGUGUAGUCUAUUCGUCGACAGCAAAGGUUAAAUGCGUGAAUUCUUCUUCAGAGAACCUUCGACGAUUCAUACCUUCAACGUUUUGUCUUUAGUAACGCUUGAUCUACCCACUCUUUCACAUUAAACCCCCUAUUUACUCAAUCAAUCAAAAGACAUGUUAUCGUAUGGGUUCCUUUCGUUUGUGAGGUUAUAUAAACCCUUAAUUCCAUUCCCUACUCCACACAAAAACUCACGAAACCUCCAAAAUUUACCUGAAAAUCUCAUCAGUCAAUGACGACCUAAUCGGCAAAAUCCACAGGGAAGGCUCGAGUUGCUCAAUCUGUAAAACCAUCUCCCCAUGGGCCCUGGCUUAGCUGAAUCGGAGCUCUGUUUCCGUUUGAUACAUUUUUUUGAUAUGAACAGAAAGCAAACAGGCAGACAAGGAUUCAACGUGGCAAGUGUGUGUAAGAGAAGAUCCGGCUCAGAAAGCCUUGCAAAGCUUCAACUAGCGGAAGAGAAGCCACUUCUAAACGGGCUGAUAUUGAAUCACAGCAACAUAAGACUUAGCUUCCAGAGGCUUGUGGCCAUGCUCAAGGUCGAAGGGAGAAGAACUGUCAUUUCAGAAUAGCCGCCGUCCUCAGUGACAUUGAAGCCUCGAGUUAGUAACCGAGGAACAACACGACAAUCUGCUGCUCCUUCGAUUCUAACAGAGAAAACAUCAUACUUUCUAGCUGAGGUGACUCAUCCAUUCUCAGCUACUUCAGAAAACGAAUUGGACUUGGAAAAAGGAGAUUACGUCGUUCUCAUGUUGUUUCUGCAUAGGUUGACAACAUUAUAGUAAUAGGCCACAUCAAAUAUGGAAGAAUUGCAGCGCUUAUGAGAACCAUCUAAAACAUCAGUCUAGUUUAGUAAAGAGAUGAGUCAUGAAUGGAAAAGCCGCCAAGUUAAGAACACAAGCAGCUUCAUCACACUUAAGUUUUGAUGAACAAUGCUUGAACUGUGAGAAAGUUUCCAAGCAUACGAUCAAUUUGUUUGUGUCUCAAAAUGUGCUAGCCUGCUGUCUAUGCUGCUUCACAAACACCAACACCAGUGCCUGAAGACACUGCUUAUUGCGCGCAUCCUAAUCAGGCAUACCCAACUACUGCAGCUACAGCACCAGUGGCUGCGCCGGUCCAGCAAGCUGCUGCUGCUGCUCCUCCUCUUACUACAACACUUACUACUGAGUCUAUAUGUGUUGCUGGUGGUUAGCUAUUUACUCUUUGGCUACUCAAGUUAAUUAUCUGAAUGUUUAUAUGUCUUUCUGUUCUCAAUCAGUGCUUUGAUUUGUGCUGGUUAUGAUACAGAUUGUAACAGACAAGUUUGAAUCGAAUUCGCCGGUUCGUGCGGUUUAACAGAUUAUCGCCGAUUAUGUCACAUAAUUUGGUUUUUGCUAAAUUUUGGGCUAAAUUUGCUAAACCUAAAGUAUAGUGUUUUUUUGUCAGCAACCUAAAAUAUAGUUUGUGUGUGCAUAUAAGUUUUUCGUCUUGCAUUUCUUGAAAACAGAGACGUUAACUUCGUCCACUUUUAAUCAAUUUCUCUAAUUAAAAUGCAUCUCUUUUAAAUUUAUAAUCUUCUCUUUGCUUUAGCAGAUUAUUAGAAACAUGAAAAAUACUUGAAACUAAGUGUUUCGUACAACAGGAUCUCUUUCACAAAAGAACAGAUUUAAAAAUAUAUAAGCGUGAAGCCAUUUCAUGCAUUUUUUACAACGUCAGAGUCUAGCUAUUUCAAUACAUGUAUGCAUAUAUUCUACCAUGGACAUGGAGGCAAAGUAGCAGGUUUACAAGGCGACGUAAGUGGAGAAUGUGUCCUUGGCGGGCUUAGGAGAGACAAACAAUUAUUUUCUUCAGAUUGGAAUAAACUAUUGGGGUCUUGGUCUCGAUUUCA